This is a non-coding RNA of Camelina sativa (false flax), 857 nucleotides long. NCBI's taxonomy places the organism in Eukaryota, Viridiplantae, Streptophyta, Magnoliopsida, Brassicales, Brassicaceae. The record is from RefSeq and is a predicted model, not a curated record.
UUUUGAAUUUCGAUCGCAUAUAACCACGAAUUCGGACCAGGAGUUCCUGGGUUACAAUUUGGUUUAGAAUUUUGAGCUGGUUGUUGAAUUGGUGUAUGCUUUGGCUAUGGUACGUUGGAAGAGGAGCUGCUUAUGAUCAUUCUCGUUCUUAUUAUAACGUUGGGGAGCCAUCUCUACUAUAUGGGCUGGUUUUGUUACUAAAUUUUCUGGGGAUUUGAACGGACACGUCAUCGUUUUGUGGGUUUAAGAUAUGGAUUUGGUUACUGGCCAAAACAUGUUCUUAUUAGAUACAAAUGGAAUAUAUUCACAUGAAUGAAAAAGCUGAUGUGUUAUGCUUAUGAGAUCAAAAUGUUUGGAUCGGUUGAAAUAUGGAUUCUCAUGAUAUGAGUAAGAGAGAUAGCUGUGGAAGGCAGAAGAAUUGGAGAAACAAAUCCGAUUAUAGGCCUGAGUUUGAGUUUACCCUUCUGACUCAUAUGGUUCUGAUGAUUUGUUGCUUCCCAUGAGCACCCCACGAGGUGGAAAGUCACAUGAGUUGUAGGACCCGAUGCUAUACCUCGAGUAAUGAUUUCACUUAUUGUGAUGGUGGACAGAAUGGAAGAGUAAAAAGAGAUCUUCAUCUAAAGGAUUUUUCGGAGGAAAAACUUAAGGAGUAUUAUCCAAAAGAGCUGAGAAGUAUGUAUUUUUUUCCUGAUUACUUUGUUUGUGUUUUGGUUUUUUUUAAAGUAUAUGUUGAAGCUCACUCUAUGCUACUUAUGAAAUUCCUUGUAGGCAAAUAAACUACAUUAGCAGUCUCAGUUAGUGUAUGGGAUUAAGUGAAUCACUAUUAAUAAUGUGGUAGAUGGUUAUUGUUUUCGACU